CACCGCUACAAUGUGUUGCUCAGAGGCAAUGACUUAGCAGUUGUUUCGUGUGGAACUGUGGAAGAAAGAAUAGUUUAAACACAUGCCACGUGUCUCUGAGGUCUGGGUGAGGUGGACAUUUCAGAAGCUCGUACUACUGCAGUUUGGGGUCGAAGGAGACCUUUAUUCACCCCGUGGAGCUGUGUAAGGCACUGUUUACUAUGGAUGGAUGUGCUUUAUUGGACUUCUUUUGGACUGUUGAACAAAAACACCCGCCCACUGCCAUUAUAAAACUUGGAGGAACCAGGAC
Molecule: long non-coding RNA, 289 nt
Organism: Cyprinus carpio (common carp)
Lineage: Eukaryota; Metazoa; Chordata; Actinopteri; Cypriniformes; Cyprinidae
Exons: 3
Source: RefSeq, a predicted model, not a curated record